Long non-coding RNA from Hyaena hyaena (striped hyena), 812 nucleotides. RefSeq lists it as uncharacterized. NCBI's taxonomy places the organism in Eukaryota, Metazoa, Chordata, Mammalia, Carnivora, Hyaenidae. The record is from RefSeq and is a predicted model, not a curated record. The transcript is spliced from 4 exons.
UUGAACACAGUUGUGGUAACCGGAGCAGCAGCAACCAUUCUACCGCCAUGGCGCCACAUCAACGGACUCAAGAUGACACGGCAGAGAGAAGAUGUUUAGAUCUUUCUUAACAAUGUCGAGCCGCUGUACCUACCCUGAACAGCCUUCCUCUGGAAUAGUGAGAAAAUUGUUACUUACAAGACCCAACACUCUCUGCUUUAAAGAAGACUUGCUUCUUCACAGUGACUGUACUGAGGCUGAACACUUUUGUGUCAGAUACCCUGUGGGCUAUGUAGGCGUUGUGGGACUUUGACCAAAUUAUCUAGACUCUCUGACCUUAGUUUUCUUAUCUCUAAAAUGGUCAUAGUAAUAGCACUUCAUUCAUAGGGCAUUCGGAAGCUCAAAGUGGAUCUUACCUGGAAAGCACUUAGCAUAAUGGUUGCUGUGAUGCAGACUCAAUACAUGUCAGUUAUCUUCAUUAUCAGAGAAAGGCACCUGUGGACACUGAUGCUGUGGAAUUUACAUUGCAUCAUGGACUUCCCUGACCAGAAAAUUCUCCCCUAGCCCUCUGCCAAGAGUUUUUCAGGUUCAAGUAGAUGUCUGUGAAUUUAAAACAGCCUUUUUUAAUACAGAUGAACAUGGAACUGCAAUUCUUUUUCCUUCUUCUUACAUAUAGUGAGAUGGCUUUGGACACCCCUCUGACCCCAGGAUAUUUGGACCCACAAACAUUGGUUUCCUCCCCAUCUUCCAAAUGAAUGAUGCAUCAGUGAAGUAGCAUGGAUUGGGAAGUGUGGUGAUAGAGACCUCUGACUACAGAGUUCCUAACUUUUCAG